UUGUUCGCAAUGGGCGCAAGCCUGACGACGCAACGCCGCGUGGAGGAUGAAGAUCUUCGGGUCGUAAACUCCUGUCGAAUGGGACGAACGGGUUGUGGGUUAACACCCCAUGACCGUGACGGUACCGUUAAAGGAAACCCCGGCUAACUCCGUGCCAGCAGCCGCGGUAAUACGGGGGGGGGUAAGCGUUGUUCGGAAUUACUGGGCGUAAAGGGCUCGUAGGCGGCCAACUAAGUCAGACGUGAAAUCCCUCAGCUUAACUGGGGAACUGCGUCUGAUACUGGAUGGCUUGGAUCCGGGAGAGGGAUGCGGAAUUCCAGGUGUAGCGGUGAAAUGCGUAGAUAUCUGGAGGAACACCGGUGGCGAAGGCGGCAUCCUGGACCGGUAUUGACGCUGAGGAGCGAAAGCCAGGGGAGCAAACGGG
Molecule: ribosomal RNA, 424 nt
Filed under: uncultured bacterium
Lineage: Bacteria
Description: bacterial SSU rRNA
Rfam family: Bacterial small subunit ribosomal RNA
Source: RNAcentral